This 3326-nucleotide long non-coding RNA is filed under the name Capsicum annuum. Its description in RNAcentral is "long non-coding RNA (CANN_LNC008557)". The record is from RNAcentral. Lineage: Eukaryota; Viridiplantae; Streptophyta; Magnoliopsida; Solanales; Solanaceae.
CCGCACACCCCACUAUUCUUUCCAUCUUCUUUUUUUUUUUCUUUCUCUAAAAUAGAUCUCCGCUAACAGUCUUUAUCGAUGAAUUUUCAAUCGGCUCCGACUCUCCAUAACAUCGUCGGUGAGUCCUUCACCAUCUUUGACCGCCCGCCAGCUAGAGCAACAACGUCACCAUCAGCCGCCCAAUUGCCUCCCCCUCUUCUUUACCCACCUCUCUUUUUUUGCCGCUCACAGCCACACCAACAACCCCAUUGUUGCCAUCGGUGAACAGCAACAGCUGCACCAACAACCCCAUGACGGUGCUAUGAAUGUCGCAUGACCCAUAACCGGCCAGACCGAUCACCAGCGUUGCCUCUCUCUUUCUCAAACAGCCAUCGUCGCUCUCUCCGUCAUCGUCAACUCCUCCAGUCGGCGAACACCAACCAAUAAUCGACGCCUUCAGCCGCUAGACAGCCACAGUCGCUGCCUCUGAUGCAACCACCAGUCGCGAUUCAGCCUCCCCCUCCUCUCACCUGUAACGUUCUCGGCGGAAUUUAUGAAUAACGAAGUUUUUGAUGAACCCGAUUGUUUUCCGGUUUGAUUUCUCAAUACCUUAAAUUGCAUGUUUGUUUGCUUUGGUUGCAAAUCACCUAAAUCGGUCUCUUAGCUUUAAAAUUCGUGAUAUUUGAUUCUAAAUUUUUAUUCAGUUCGUUUAAUUAUGUGUUUAUGUUCGUCUCUAGAUUGAUAUACACGAAAAGCCCUAAAUUCUAUGGACUUUGAUUAUUCUCAAAUUUUCUAGUAGCUAAUCUUUCAUUAAUUUUUAUGAUUCCGAACCACUUUGAUUAUGGGUCGUUGACAAAUUUUGAUGCGUAAUUGUUGAUAUUGUACUAUUUUGAUUUCUAAUCAUGAUGAUAAAAAUGAGACUGAUUCAAUUAUGAAAUACUCUAAUUUGAUUAAUCUUUUUAUAAUCUUUAGUGAUUAAAAUAGCCUUAACAGAUCCUUUGUUUACCUCUACGAUUCUUACUCUCUUAUUUAUGAUAAUUUUUUAUGAUUCCUACUCUUCUAUUUAUGGUAAUUUUUUGAUAUGUUUGUUUUAAUUGUAAUUGAUUAAUGGUAUUGAUUUGCCUCUAUGAUUCUUACUCUCAUAUUUAUGAUAAUUUUAUUAUUUGUUUGAUUAAUUGUGAUUGAUUAAUGGUAUCGAUUUAAGAAAAGUAUCCUAUUUGGUUCAAUAACGGAUUUUCUUGCCUUCUUUUUGAACGGACGGUUAUGUCAUUAAUUUAUUAUAGCAAAAUUCUUUUCUUUUAAUUUGAUUUAAUUAGGCUAGUUAAGGCAAUGAUUAUUUUUUAACCUUUAAUAAUCAUUCUCUAUUCAAUAUAAAAAAGGGCAAUUCCUUUUAUUUUUUUUGAGAAUACAGAAUACUGACUUCUACACUCUUCUAACUUAAAGUGUUAAAGUUUUACUUGUUGCUUCUACUUUGAGACUGUCGGUUCUUGGUUGCUUUUACCUACUUUUGAAAGUUCGAUUUCUUUCGUUAUUGUGUUGUUAAUCGAUUAGUUUUCUCUAAUAAUGUAUUAAUUUCUUUAUAUAUUCUAUGUGACUAUGAUUUUAUUUUGAUUUGCGUGGGCUUGAUGUCAUAAGUCUUCUAUCCAUCUUUGUGUAUGUUUCGUGACUUAUUGCGUGUUCAUGCUAUUCUCUUUUGUCAAUGUGACAUGUUUUCUUUCUCUAUGAAAUGUUCUUUCCCACUAGAGUAUUGUUAUGUGUGAAUCUGAAAUAACUUUUGCGCUUUAGAACCCCUUCAGCAUGAGUCUACCUGGGAUCCUUGAGAUCCUUAGGAUCUCAACAUCAAUGAGGGUUGUUUAUGGGCUACCAAAAGCAUGUUUUGGAUUUUUGGAAUUAAUUUUGGUAUCUUUGCCAGGUUGGACGAGAAAGCAGGUGAUUCGGGAAACUUGUAGAGUUGUCGGGGGGUUUGUUUAAGGAUUGUCCCACUUAGUGCUUGUUUUUUAUUCAUUCUUGGUCUCUCUGUGUAAUAAUAAAAUUGUGUGACUGCAUAUGGGGGGCGAAGACUAUGUGAUUUAAAUAUUUUAUGUUCUCACUUAAGCAAGUAUGUAGUCUAAGAUUAAUAAUAAACUUAAUUAAUCGCCUAGAAGUUAUGUUUUAGGGUUUCUAAUUAAUUUUCAAUAUAAAAAGUUAUUUUUAAGCAUGUUUGUUUGAUGUCUAGCAUGUUUGGUUAGUUGUCACUCAUUUUUAAUCCUUUUUGCACAUUUAAUAAAUGUUUUUGCACAUUCAAAAUUAUUAUUCGGACACUCAAUAAAUUUCUACACUUUCAAAAUAAAUUUUUGCAUUUUUAAAUAUUUCUCUGCAUUUUCAAAAUAAUUUUCUGCAUUGUUUAUUUAGUUUCCUGCACUAUUUAAAUAUUUUUUUGCACUUUAAAAUAUUUUACUACACAAUUUAAAAUAAUUAUCUGCAUUGUGUAUUUAAUUUUCUACACUGCUUCAAAUAAUUUCUGCACUAUGUUAAAUAACUUCAGCACAACUUAAAAAAAUUCUGCACAGUUCAAACUUCAAACUCAUUUUUCUGAUUAAUUCACUAUACAGUUUUAUUAAUUUUCCUGCGCAACUUAUUCAUUUUUCUGAAUAUUUUAGUAAGUUUUUUUGCACUGCUUUAACUGUUAGCUUGUUUAAAUUUUUAAAUGUUAAUAAUUAUUUAUCACUUAGUAGCAUGUGUAUAAGUCUAAUUUUGUAAAAAUAAAUAAAUAUUUGUUUUGGCAUGUUAAUUACUUAACUAACCUUUAACUAAUCAAGAGGCUUGUUUGAAAUCAUUGUGUGCUACGUGCUAGUCCAACGUGCUUUGCUUUACGCACUUUGAGUCUAAUUAGGUAAACUUAAUUUUGUUUGUCUAGACCCUAAAUUCAAAUUAGAAAGGUCCAAUGCCUCUUGGACAUUAAGUUGGGACGGACAGAAAUUUUAGAAAACGCUAGUUUUAUCCGUUCUUUUAGAGCGUCACUAAGCUUAACAACCAGCCUAGGUGGAGGUGGGUAGACAUUCGGAGAUGAUGGUAACCCAACAUGUUUUGAUAAUGAAAAAUAAAAUGGUCACCCGAUAAUAACUCGACUUGUAAUACCCCAUACUUUUUUUAGCUCAGUUCAGCUCUUAGUUGUAUGUAUAAGAGGUUUAAAGCCUUAAAAAUUUCUCACUAAGUGUUAGGACUUAGUCAUUUUCAAAGCCCCAUAAAUUUUGAUAAUUUUAUUUUCGAUCUUUCCAACCUCGGAACAUUAAUUUGUAAGUUGAUUCAUGAUCGGGGUUAUCAAUAGUACAUCUCAGGUGUGUUUUGAAAUUUUUGGACGAGUGUAG